Molecule: transfer RNA, 66 nt
Filed under: marine eukaryotic metagenome
Rfam family: tRNA
About the family: Transfer RNA (tRNA) molecules are approximately 80 nucleotides in length. Their secondary structure includes four short double-helical elements and three loops (D, anti-codon, and T loops).
Source: RNAcentral
CGGUGUAGCUCAGGGGUAGAGCAACUGAUUCGUAAUCAGUAGGUCAGCGGUUCAAUUCCGCUCACC